UACGUAGGGUGCGAGCGUUAAUCGGAAUUACUGGGCGUAAAGCGUGCGCAGGCGGCUCGUUAAGUCGGGUGUGAAAGCCCCGAGCUUAACUUGGGAAUUGCGCUUGUGACUGGCGUGCUGGAGUGUGGCAGAGGGAGGUGGAAUUCCACGUGUAGCAGUGAAAUGCGUAGAGAUGUGGAGGAACACCGAUGGCGAAGGCAGCCUCCUGGGCCAGCACUGACGCUCAUGCACGAAAGCGUGGGGAGCAAACAGG
This 253-nucleotide ribosomal RNA is filed under the name uncultured bacterium. Its description in RNAcentral is "partial 16S ribosomal RNA". It matches the Rfam family "Bacterial small subunit ribosomal RNA", at positions 524 to 776 of the family's 1533-position model. The record is from RNAcentral.